UUGAGAUGGUGAUGGUGAUGAUGAUUAUGAUGGUUAUGGUGAUUGUUGUGAUGUAUCAUCCAAAUCACUCACCUCCAACAUAACCAUCACCUUCACCAUCACCAUUAUGA
Molecule: small RNA, 110 nt
Filed under: Mytilus galloprovincialis (Mediterranean mussel)
Lineage: Eukaryota; Metazoa; Mollusca; Bivalvia; Mytilida; Mytilidae
Source: RNAcentral